AUGAACGCUGGCGGCGUGCCUAAUACCUGCCAGUCGAGCGAACAGAUGAGGAGCUUGCUCCUCUGACGUUAGCGGCGGACGGGUGAGUAACACGUGGAUAACCUACCUAUAAGACUGGGAUAACUUCGGGAAACCGGAGCUAAUACCGGAUAAUAUAUUGAACCGCAUGGUUCAAUAGUGAAAGACGGUUUUGCUGUCACUUAUAGAUGGAUCCGCGCCGCAUUAGCUAGUUGGUAAGGUAACGGCUUACCAAGGCAACGAUGCGUAGCCGACCUGAGAGGGUGAUCGGCCACACUGGAACUGAGACACGGUCCAGACUCCUACGGGAGGCAGCAGUAGGGAAUCUUCCGCAAAGGGCGAAAGCCUGACGGAGCAACGCCGCGUGAGUGAUGAAGGUCUUCGGAUCGUAAAACUCUGUUAUUAGGGAAGAACAAAUGUGUAAGUAACUAUGCACGUCUUGACGGUACCUAAUCAGAAAGCCACGGCUAACUACGUG
Molecule: ribosomal RNA, 496 nt
Filed under: uncultured bacterium
Lineage: Bacteria
Description: partial 16S ribosomal RNA
Rfam family: Bacterial small subunit ribosomal RNA
Source: RNAcentral